GCGGGUGUAGCUCAGUUGGUAGAGCGUCAGCCUUCCAAGCUGAAUGUCGCCGGUUCGAACCCGGUCGCCCGCUCCA
RNAcentral lists this transfer RNA (76 nucleotides) under Deltaproteobacteria bacterium. RNAcentral's name for it is "tRNA-Gly". It matches the Rfam family "tRNA". From Rfam's summary of the family: Transfer RNA (tRNA) molecules are approximately 80 nucleotides in length. Lineage: Bacteria; Pseudomonadati; Myxococcota; Myxococcia. RNAcentral also lists the same sequence under 1 other name. The record is from RNAcentral.